Rhopalosiphum padi (bird cherry-oat aphid) is the source of this 1468-nucleotide long non-coding RNA. RefSeq lists it as uncharacterized. The transcript has 2 exons. The record is from RefSeq and is a predicted model, not a curated record. Lineage: Eukaryota; Metazoa; Arthropoda; Insecta; Hemiptera; Aphididae.
CAAUUGAAAUUUUUGAAUUUAAGUUUAUAGUUUAUAGUUUUUGAGUUUAAGCGAUUUAUAUAAGUAAUAUAAACUACCUAAACAAGAUGCUGAAGAAAUAUCUGAUGUCAUAUUGAACAGUUUUUUGAACACCUAAAUAUAUGUUCAAAAGGUUGAGGAGUAGCACAUUUUGGUACCUCAAUAAUUGUCUCAUUUGUUGAUUUCAACAGAAGUGGGAAUUUUUGGAGCCGCAUUUAAUUUUUAUCGGUUUGUAUUACAUAAAUAACAAGUAGAAUCAAAAUGGUCAGAACAGAUUCUGGUUUGAGAAAAUCUAGAUGUAUCAUUUAAACCAUGCAAGUCUCCAAAUAAUAAACCUAUAAUUUUAAAUAAAUAUUUUAAUUAGAAAUAAAAUUUCAAUACUACUUAUGUAAUCAUUUUUUCACGUAAAAUUAGAAAAAUAUUUAUUUUAACAACUUACUACAGUAAAGUAAUGCUAUAUUUUUAUUGUAUAAAAAUUAUUUAUGUUAAGGCUGUUGGAGCACAACAUUUGAAAUAAUUAUAUGUAUUACGUAUAAUUAAUAAGUGGAUAAUAUUCUUGUAAAAAUCUCAACUAGUUUUUUCAAUCAAAAUAUCAAAUGCAAAUGUGCGGCGAAAACGCAGUGAUUAACCAGAGGCACCACAAAACAUAUAAAUGUUCUAUCUUAUAUAGUACUAUUAGUAGUAAGUUACAUGACAAAAUAUGUAGUAUAUAUAAAUAUAUAUUUUGUCAUGGUAAAUUAGUAGUUAGUACUGUGACGAUUGGAUGUAGUAUCUACGCCGGCCGCCGGGAGAGUACCUAACAUUCCGAAUCCUUAUCAAGCAUGCGCCAGUUUUGGUGACUAUACCAUCAGAGUCACGAAAACAACUAUUCUGAUUGGUCUAUAUUUUCCGCGCAAUAUUUGAAAUAUAAAAUAUUGUGUCAUGUGUAUACACUUUAUUGUACAGUAUGUUAACUAAUUAAAAUGCAGUAGCUCUAAUUAAAUAUUUUAGUGCAGUUUUUUUAAUGUAAUAUAUGACUAAUUGCAUACAUUUUACCAUUACAUACAUGUUAUAUAACUUAAAAAUUUCUAACAUAUAUUAUAAUUUUGUUACAAAUAUAAUUGAUCAAUUAAACUGAUUUGUGCAUAGUAGCUCAUGGGGGAUAUAUUAUAUUAUGAUUUAUGAAAAACAAAUGUAUUUAAUAAUCCUUUAUUGUAAUAUUGACCGACGACUAUUACUUAUUAGAAUUACCAUAUUACGGAUUUAUGUAUAUUGUACACAUUAUUAUUUUGUAUUUUUAUGACAUUUUUAUGUCCGCCCCCAUCAUAAUUAUAUACACGUACAAUGAUUCCCGUCCAUUUUUUCUUGAGAUAAUGAAUAUUUUUAAUUACAUUUCACUAAAUAUUAUUAACAAACAAUGUACCAGACAUAAUUUAAUCAGGAUUGAAAUAUAUUUCAACCAUUAGUUUAA